RNAcentral lists this ribosomal RNA (500 nucleotides) under uncultured bacterium. Its description in RNAcentral is "partial 16S ribosomal RNA". It matches the Rfam family "Bacterial small subunit ribosomal RNA", at positions 30 to 523 of the family's 1533-position model. The record is from RNAcentral.
AUUGAACGCUGGCGGCAUGCCUUACACAUGCAAGUCGAACGGCAGCACGGGAGCAAUCCUGGUGGCGAGUGGCGAACGGGUGAGUCAAGUAUCGGAACGUGCCCAGUCGUGGGGGAUAACGUAGCGAAAGUUACGCUAAUACCGCAUACGAUCUAUGGAUGAAAGCGGGGGAUCGCAAGACCUAGCGCGAUUGGAGCGGCCGAUAUCAGAUUAGGUAGUUGGUGGGGUAAAGGCGCACCAAGCCGACGAUCUGUAGCUGGUCUGAGAGGACGACCAGCCACACUGGGACUGAGACACGGACCAGACUCCAACGGAAGGCAGCAGUGGGGAAUUUUGGACAAUGGGCGAAAGCCUGAUCCAGCCAUGCCGCGUGCAGGAUGAAGGCCUUCGGGUUGUAAACUGCUUUUGUACGGAACGAAAAGGUUUGGCCUAAUAAGCUGAGCUCAUGACGGUACCGUAAGAAUAAACACCGGCUAACUACGUGCCAGCAGCCGCGGUAA